Molecule: ribosomal RNA, 253 nt
Filed under: uncultured bacterium
Lineage: Bacteria
Description: partial 16S ribosomal RNA
Rfam family: Bacterial small subunit ribosomal RNA
Source: RNAcentral
UACGUAGGCAGCGAGCGUUGUUCGGAGUUACUGGGCGUAAAGAGUGCGUAGGCGGUGCUCUAAGUUUGGUGUGAAAUCUCCCGGCUCAACUGGGAGGGUGCGCCGAAAACUGGAGUGCUCGAGUAUGGGAGAGGUAAGCGGAAUUCCUGGUGUAGCGGUGAAAUGCGUAGAUAUCAGGAGGAACACCGGUGGUGUAGACGGCUUUCUGGACCGUAACUGACGCUGAGACACGAAAGCGUGGGUAGCAAACAGG